CAAAGACGCCUCCUUUACUUUCGGCCGAUUUCCCAGACAAGCUAGCUACUGAUGGCGGAGGUCGAAUCGGCGGCGGCGCCCGGCGGUCCCCUGCCAGACUCGGCGGCGGAGGCGGCGACAGCGCAGCCUACGGCGGCGGCGCCGCACAUGCUGGAGCGGAAGUGGGCCUUCUGGUUCGAUAACCAGUCGAAGCCCAAGCAGGGUGCCGCCUGGGGCAGCUCCCUCCGCAAGGCCUACACCUUCGACACCGUCGAGGAGUUCUGGAGCUUGUAUGAGGUACUUCGACCUAGCAAGUUCCCGGCAAAUGCUGAUUUCCACUGUUUCAAAGCUGGG
Molecule: unclassified non-coding RNA, 333 nt
Filed under: Hevea brasiliensis (rubber tree)
Lineage: Eukaryota; Viridiplantae; Streptophyta; Magnoliopsida; Malpighiales; Euphorbiaceae
Source: RNAcentral